RNAcentral lists this ribosomal RNA (267 nucleotides) under uncultured bacterium. RNAcentral's name for it is "partial 16S ribosomal RNA". It matches the Rfam family "Bacterial small subunit ribosomal RNA", at positions 28 to 298 of the family's 1533-position model. The record is from RNAcentral.
GAUGAACGCUGGCGGCGUGCUUAACACAUGCAAGUCGAACGUGAGAGGUAGCAAUAUCUUGAAAGUGGCGAACGGGUGAGUAACACGUAGGUGACCUGCCUCGGAGUGGGGGAUAACAGUUAGAAAUGACUGCUAAUACCGCAUGAAUCCACGGGAUUGGGAAAUUCGGUGGAGAAAACUCUGGUGCUUCGAGAGGGGCCUGCGGUCGAUUAGCUAGUUGGCGGGGUAACGGCCCACCAAGGCGACGAUCGAUAGCUGGUCUGAGGA